This 380-nucleotide long non-coding RNA is filed under the name Mytilus galloprovincialis (Mediterranean mussel). The record is from RNAcentral. Lineage: Eukaryota; Metazoa; Mollusca; Bivalvia; Mytilida; Mytilidae.
UUUUGUAUGAAAUUGUUUGUUUUUGCCGUUUUAUUGUUUUUUCGCACACGUGCUGUUAGUUUAUUUUCGUCUUACUGGCUUGAAUGUUCCGUUGGUAUAUUUUGCACAUACAUUGUAGCAAUUAUUCACUGCGUGAAAACAAAACAAAAAAGCCCCCAUAAAAACACUGUCAUGCGUCCGCUGGCUUUUCUGGAUCUUUCUUCUCCAGGAAAGCUCAAAGCCGAAUAUUAGAAACCCCAGGGGUUAUAAGAACCAAAUCAGUCGAAGAGAUACAUGAUCAAAACGUAUUAAAAAUAAAAUCUAAAUCUAUCAGAAGACCAACUACGAUCGAGGGGUCUGAAACCUGUGUUUCGGAAUUAACGCACAGUUUAUAAACGGAC